GAGAGUUUGAUCCUGGCUCAGGACGAACGCUGGCGGCGUGCCUAAUACAUGCAAGUCGUACGCUUCUUUUUCCACCGGAGCUUGCUCCACCGGAAAAAGAAGAGUGGCGAACGGGUGAGUAACACGUGGGUAACCUGCCCAUCAGAAGGGGAUAACACUUGGAAACAGGUGCUAAUACCGUAUAACAAUCGAAACCGCAUGGUUUUGAUUUGAAAGGCGCUUUCGGGUGUCGCUGAUGGAUGGACCCGCGGUGCAUUAGCUAGUUGGUGAGGUAACGGCUCACCAAGGCCACGAUGCAUAGCCGACCUGAGAGGGUGAUCGGCCACAUUGGGACUGAGACACGGCCCAAACUCCUACGGGAGGCAGCAGUAGGGAAUCUUCGGCAAUGGACGAAAGUCUGACCGAGCAACGCCGCGUGAGUGAAGAAGGUUUUCGGAUCGUAAAACUCUGUUGUUAGAGAAGAACAAGGAUGAGAGUAACUGUUCAUCCCUUGACGGUAUCUAACCAGAAAGCCACGGCUAACUACGUGCCAGCAGCCGCGGUAAUACGUAGGUGGCAAGCGUUGUCCGGAUUUAUUGGGCGUAAAGCGAGCGCAGGCGGUUUCUUAAGUCUGAUGUGAAAGCCCCCGGCUCAACCGGGGAGGGUCAUUGGAAACUGGGAGACUUGAGUGCAGAAGAGGAGAGUGGAAUUCCAUGUGUAGCGGUGAAAUGC
This 711-nucleotide ribosomal RNA is filed under the name Enterococcus faecium. Its description in RNAcentral is "bacterial SSU rRNA". It matches the Rfam family "Bacterial small subunit ribosomal RNA", at positions 7 to 689 of the family's 1533-position model. The record is from RNAcentral. Lineage: Bacteria; Bacillati; Bacillota; Bacilli; Lactobacillales; Enterococcaceae.